GCUGGCGGCGUGGAUCAGACAUGCAAGUCGAACGAGGUUAGUCUGGUAGCAAUAUUGGGCUGACCUAGUGGCGAACGGGUGCGUAACACGUGACCAACCUGCCUAAAAGUGGGGGAUAGCUCGGCGAAAGCCGGAUUAAUACCGCAUGUGAUCGUAAGAUUAAAGCAGCAAUGCGCUUUUAGAGGGGGUCGCGGCCUAUCAGCUAGUUGGUGAGGUAAAGGCUUACCAAGGCAGCGACGGGUAGCUGGUCUGAGAGGACGACCAGCCACACUGGAACUGAGACACGGUCCAGACACCUACGGGUGGCAGCAGUCGAGAAUUUUUCUCAAUGGGGGAAACCCUGAAGGAGCGACGCCGCGUGGAGGAUGAAGGCUUUCGGGUUGUAAACUCCUGUCAUCUGGGAACAAAACUCGCAAGAGCUUGAUAGUACCAGAAGAGGAAGAGACGGCUAACUCUGUGCCAGCAGCCGCGGUAAUACAGAGGUCUCAAGCGUUGUUCGGAUUCAUUGGGCGUAA
Molecule: ribosomal RNA, 515 nt
Filed under: uncultured soil bacterium
Lineage: Bacteria
Description: bacterial SSU rRNA
Rfam family: Bacterial small subunit ribosomal RNA
Source: RNAcentral